AGAGUUUGAUCAUGGCUCAGAACGAACGCUGGCGGCGCGUCUUAAACAUGCAAGUCGAACGAUCUGUAGCAAUACAGGGAGUGGCGGACAGGUGAGGAACACGUAGGAAUCUACCUUGAAGAGCGGGACAACUUUGGAAACCGGGGCUAAUACCGCAUAGUACAGAGAUGUUAAAGGGCUAGCAAUAGUCGCUUCGAGAUGAGCCUGCGGUCUAUCAGCUUGUUGGUGAGGUAAUGGCUCACCAAGGCUACGACGGAUAGCCGGUCUGAGAGGAUGAUCGGCCACACUGGCACUGAGACACGGGCCAGACUCCUACGGGAGGCAGCAGUUAAGAAUCUUGCGCAAUGGGGGAAACCCUGACGCAGCGACGCCGCGUGAAGGAUGAAGGCUUUCGGGUCGUAAACUUCGGUAGACUGGGAAGAAGAACUACGUUCGUUGAGGGCGUAGAGUGACGGUACCAGUCUGAAGCCCCGGCUAAUUACGUG
RNAcentral lists this ribosomal RNA (485 nucleotides) under uncultured bacterium. Its description in RNAcentral is "bacterial SSU rRNA". It matches the Rfam family "Bacterial small subunit ribosomal RNA", at positions 8 to 507 of the family's 1533-position model. The record is from RNAcentral.